CCUACGGGUGGCAGCAGUGGGGAAUAUUGCACAAUGGGGGAAACCCUGAUGCAGCGACGCCGCGUGAGUGAAGAAGUAACUCGGGACGUAAAGCUCUAUCAGCAGGGAAGAAAAUGACGGUAACUGACGAAGAAGCACCGGCUAACGACGUGCCAGCAGCCGCGGGAAUACGUAGGGGGCAAGCGUUAUCCGGAUUUACUGGGUGUAAAGGGAGCGUAGACGGCUGCGCAAGUCUGGAGUUACAUCCCCGGACUCAACCCCGCGACUGCUGUGGAAACUGUGCAGCUGGAGUGCAGGAGUGGUAAGUGGAAUUCCUAGUGUAGCGGUGAAAUGCGUAGAUAUUAGGAGGAACACCGGUGGCGAAGGCGGCUUACUGGACUGUACCUGACGUUGAGGCUCGAAAGCGUGGGGAGCAAACAGGAUUAGAUACCCCUGUAGUC
This 440-nucleotide ribosomal RNA is filed under the name uncultured bacterium. RNAcentral's name for it is "partial 16S ribosomal RNA". It matches the Rfam family "Bacterial small subunit ribosomal RNA", at positions 338 to 795 of the family's 1533-position model. The record is from RNAcentral.